This 460-nucleotide ribosomal RNA is filed under the name uncultured bacterium. RNAcentral's name for it is "partial 16S ribosomal RNA". It matches the Rfam family "Bacterial small subunit ribosomal RNA", at positions 338 to 795 of the family's 1533-position model. The record is from RNAcentral.
CCUACGGGAGGCAGCAGUGAGGAAUAUUGGUCAAUGGACGAGAGUCUGAACCAGCCAAGUAGCGUGAAGGAUGACUGCCCUAUGGGUUGUAAACUUCUUUUAUAAAGGAAUAAAACGAGGCACGUGUGCCUUUUUGUAUGUACUUUAUGAAUAAGGAUCGGCUAACUCCGUGCCAGCAGCCGCGGUAAUACGGAGGAUCCGAGCGUUAUCCGGAUUUAUUGGGUUUAAAGGGAGCGUAGAUGGGUUGUUAAGUCAGUUGUGAAAGUUUGCGGCUCAACCGUAAAAUUGCGAUUGAUACUGGCAGUCUUGAGUGCAGUGGAGGUAGGCGGAAUUCGUGGUGUAGCGGUGAAAUGCUUAGAUAUCACGAAGAACCCCGAUUGCGAAGGCAGCUUACUAAACUGUGACUGACAUUGAUGCUCGAAAGUGUGGGUAUCAAACAGGAUUAGAUACCCUUGUAGUC